GACGAACGCUGGCGGCGUGCUUAACACAUGCAAGUCGAACGGAAAGGCCCUGCUUUUGUGGGGUGCUCGAGUGGCGAACGGGUGAGUAACACGUGAGUAACCUGCCCUUGACUUUGGGAUAACUUCAGGAAACCGGGGCUAAUACCGGAUAGGAGCUCCUGCUGCAUGGUGGGGGUUGGAAAGUUUCGGCGGUUGGGGAUGGACUCGCGGCUUAUCAGCUUGUUGGUGGGGUAGUGGCUUACCAAGGCUUUGACGGGUAGCCGGCCUGAGAGGGGGACCGGCGACAUUGGGACUGAGAUACGGCCCAGACUCGUACGGGAGGCAGCAGUGGGGAAUAUUGCACAAUGGGCGGAAGCCUGAUGCAGCAACGCCGCGUGCGGGAUGACGGCCUUCGGGUUGUAAACCGCUUUCGCCUGUGACGAAGCGUGAGUGACGGUAAUGGGUAAAGAAGCACCGGCUAACUACGUG
RNAcentral lists this ribosomal RNA (468 nucleotides) under uncultured bacterium. RNAcentral's name for it is "partial 16S ribosomal RNA". It matches the Rfam family "Bacterial small subunit ribosomal RNA", at positions 28 to 507 of the family's 1533-position model. The record is from RNAcentral.